Molecule: long non-coding RNA, 532 nt
Organism: Dreissena polymorpha
Lineage: Eukaryota; Metazoa; Mollusca; Bivalvia; Myida; Dreissenidae
Exons: 4
Source: RefSeq, a predicted model, not a curated record
UCAUUUACAUGAUUAAUAUACACAAAAUAAAUGGAUAUUAUUAUAUAUAAAGGUUAGGUUCUAGAAUUAACCUUUGCAAAAUUGAGAAGACAAUGCUAAGACUCGGUUAUUAUGUGUCGCAGGUUUUGUGCAUACCGGUAUUGAAAUUUUAUUUUAUUUAUUUUUUAUUUUAUAGAGAACAUGACUGACAAAGAUCUAUUUGACAGUGAUUAUGAUGGAAGUUCACAAAUACAUGAGCACAGUUACAUUGUGAUAUCGGACUCUGAGGAGACACAACCACCUUCACCUUUUGGUUGACAGGAAUAUUACAGUAAAAGACCAGUUGUUCAACAGCCUUUUUUUACAAACAAAUUCCUGGUGCUGCCAUUCCUAAUCAACCGACAUAUCAUAAUUCUGGAUAAGAAUUCAGAUUACUGGCUGCAUAUUCAACCGAAUUUUUGGGUCCUGCGUUGGUGGGGGGUAACGUGUUUCAGACCAGAAUCCUGCCGGACCAUCCAAUUGCAAGGACAUCUAACAUAGCUGAAAUGUAUCU